Molecule: ribosomal RNA, 253 nt
Filed under: uncultured bacterium
Lineage: Bacteria
Description: partial 16S ribosomal RNA
Rfam family: Bacterial small subunit ribosomal RNA
Source: RNAcentral
UACAGAGGUCUCAAGCGUUGUUCGGAUUCAUUGGGCGUAAAGGGUGCGAAGGUGGCGCCGUAAGUCGGGUGUGAAAUUUCGGAGCUUAACUCCGAAACUGCAUUCGAUACUGCGGUGCUUGAGGACUGGAGAGGAGACUGGAAUUCAUGGUGUAGCAGUGAAAUGCGUAGAGAUCAUGAGGAAGACCAGUGGCGAAGGCGGGUCUCUGGACAGUUCCUGACACUGAGGCACGAAGGCCAGGGGAGCAAACGGG